Anopheles funestus (African malaria mosquito) is the source of this 334-nucleotide non-coding RNA. The record is from Rfam. Lineage: Eukaryota; Metazoa; Arthropoda; Insecta; Diptera; Culicidae.
CGGUUCUGUCUAGCUCAACUCUCGUGGUUCCAUACGAGUUAGCUCGAUAACUCUUCAGUUGCUUCCCUCGUGGAGCAUGCCAUGGGAAAAGUCCCCGGGCCCGAGACAGAAAUUGUCAGGAUGUAACGCGUCCCUCUUGUAUAUCACGCAGUCAGAAGUUGGAGGAGGAGAACUUCUCCUUCGGCUUAGACAUGGUGCAAAAAUGCCAGACCUAUCUAAAGUAAUGUUGAGAUUUCUGGUUAAGGGAUUAAGACGGGUGAAGGGAGAAACUCUCUCCUCUCACUUGCUCCUGUUCCUUCCCAUCUCACACAAUGGGGCUUACUCAGAAAGAACU